Molecule: long non-coding RNA, 748 nt
Filed under: Homo sapiens (human)
Lineage: Eukaryota; Metazoa; Chordata; Mammalia; Primates; Hominidae
Description: non-protein coding LINC00871:6
Source: RNAcentral
CAGAAACAAUUGAUCUUGAUGGAACAAUCUUGUUUUUAUAUAAAAUUUCAAGCUGGUGAUGACAUGUGUAAAAGGAAAAGUGCUGCAAGCAGUAAAUGCUGUUCAGUUUGCAGUCCAUUACAUCAACAUAUCUAAAUGAUCCUCUUUAGCCCAGUACUUCAAUAGGAUGUUGGAAAAGAAGACUUCCACUCUAAUAGGAUGAAAAAAUGAUCAUUUAUUUACAUCAUUCUGAUUUCUUUUAAUUGCUUCACAAUCCACUAUAAAGAAGAUUCGCUCUGACCCUAAAUUUUCUACUUUUUUUCCCACUUUUCUCUCACAUAAAUUAGGUGUUUCAUUCUUUUUCCUCCUUAUUAUUUUAUUUACACCAUUCUGUGUUGAGCACAGAAAGGUGGAAGUAUAUAGCCCUGUUCUCUGUUUUUAAUGCUCUGUAUAUUUUUGUUUCCUUUUCUGUGGAAUCAGUUUUUCAUUAUCCUUAUAGAAUCAGUUUUUCAUUAUCCUUAUAAGGAGAUGCCAUUUUUCUCAAUCUUUCCUUAAAAUCUAACUAACUUCUUUACUAAGUCAUUUCUGUUCCUUAUAGAAUAGUGAAUGUGACUGUUCUUAGUGUAUUGACUGGUCCCUUUACAUCAGCAUUGUAACUUUUAGGUAUUAGUUUACUUUCAUAUGAUUGUUAUUUCAUAUAUCAUUGUGAACAUAUUUUUUUCCAAAAAUAAAAUACAUAUUGACCUAAAAGAAAUUGCAUCUAAAAGAA